AAGUUAGUCUUUUGGUAAAGGGUUCUGGCCGAUAACUAGAAUAAAAAGGUUUAAUUCCUUUCUAGCUUU
RNAcentral lists this transfer RNA (69 nucleotides) under Rhabdopleura sp. NHMO H2137. Its description in RNAcentral is "tRNA-Ile". It matches the Rfam family "tRNA". Rfam says of the family: Transfer RNA (tRNA) molecules are approximately 80 nucleotides in length. Their secondary structure includes four short double-helical elements and three loops (D, anti-codon, and T loops). The record is from RNAcentral. Lineage: Eukaryota; Metazoa; Hemichordata; Pterobranchia; Rhabdopleurida; Rhabdopleuridae.